GAACGCUGGCGGCGUGCUUAACACAUGCAAGUCGAACGGAAAGGCCCUGCUUUUGUGGGGUGCUCGAGUGGCGAACGGGUGAGUAACACGUGAGUAACCUGCCCUUGACUUUGGGAUAACUUCAGGAAACUGGGGCUAAUACCGGAUAGGAGCUCCUGCUGCAUGGUGGGGGUUGGAAAGUUUCGGCGGUUGGGGAUGGACUCGCGGCUUAUCAGCUUGUUGGUGGGGUAGUGGCUUACCAAGGCUUUGACGGGUAGCCGGCCUGAGAGGGUGACCGGCCACAUUGGGACUGAGAUACGGCCCAGACUCCUACGGGAGGCAGCAGUGGGGAAUAUUGCACAAUGGGCGGAAGCCUGAUGCAGCAACGCCGCGUGCGGGAUGACGGCCCUCGGGUUGUAAACCGCUUUCGCCUGUGACGAAGCGUGAGUGACGGUAAUGGGUAAAGAAGCACCGGCUAACUACGUG
Molecule: ribosomal RNA, 465 nt
Filed under: uncultured bacterium
Lineage: Bacteria
Description: partial 16S ribosomal RNA
Rfam family: Bacterial small subunit ribosomal RNA
Source: RNAcentral